ACGAACGCUGGCGGCGUGCCUAAAACAUGCAAGUCGAACGAGGGAGCAAUCCCUAGUGGCGAACGGCGGAGUAAUACAUGAACAACGUGCCCUGAAGACCGGGAUAGUCAGUGGAAACGCUGGGUAAUACCGGAUGUGGCCGACACGAGGCAUCUCGAGUCGAUUAAAUGGUUUUCCGCUUCAGGAGCGGUUCAUGGCCUAUCAGGUAGUUGGUGGGGUAACAGCCUACCAAGGCAACGAUCAGUAGCCGGCCUGAGAGGGUGAUCGGCCACACUGGAACUGAGACACGGUCCAGACUCCUACGGGAGGCAGCAGUGGGGAAUUUUGCGCAAUGGGCGAAAGCCUGACGCAGCAACGCCGCGUGGGUGAUGAAGGUCUUCGGAUCGUAAAACCCUGUCGUCAGGGACGAAGGUUAGUCGUUGAAUAGGCGAUUGACUUGACGGUACCUGGAGAGGAAGCCCCGGCUAACUCUGUGCCAGCAGCCGCGGUAAGACGUAGGGGGCGAGCGUUGUCCGGAUUUACUGGGCGUAAAGCGCGUGUAGGCGGCUUGUUAAGUGUGAAGUGAAAUCUCUAUCGCUCAACGAAGAAACUGCUUUACAUACUGGCAAGCUUGAGGAAUGCAGAGGUUAGUGGAAUUCCUGGUGUAGCGGUGAAAUGCGUAGAUAUCACGAGGAACAUCAAUGGCGAAAGCAGCUAACUGGGCAUUAUCUGACGCUGAGAUGCGAAAGCGUGGGUAGCAAACAGGAUUAGAUACCCUGGUAGUCCACGCCCUAAACGAUGGAUACUAAGCGUAGAAGUAUCGACCCCUCUUGUGCCGCAGCUACGCAUUAAGUAUCCCGCCUGGGGAGUACGGCCGCAAGUUGAAACUCAAAUGAAUUGACGGGACCCGCACAAGCGUGGAGCAUGUG
This 908-nucleotide ribosomal RNA is filed under the name uncultured bacterium. RNAcentral's name for it is "bacterial SSU rRNA". It matches the Rfam family "Bacterial small subunit ribosomal RNA", at positions 29 to 943 of the family's 1533-position model. The record is from RNAcentral.